This 586-nucleotide ribosomal RNA is filed under the name uncultured eukaryote. Its description in RNAcentral is "bacterial SSU rRNA". It matches the Rfam family "Eukaryotic small subunit ribosomal RNA". The record is from RNAcentral.
GUAGUCAUAUGCUUGUCUCAAAGAUUAAGCCAUGCAUGUCUAAGUACGGCUCUAGUACGGUGAAACUGCGAAUGGCUCAUUAAAUCAGUUUUGGUUCAUUUGAUCGUAAAAGUUUACAUGGAUAACUGUCGUAAUUCAAGAGCUAAUACACGCUAAAAGCGUCGCUCUCUGAGCGGCGUGCUUUUAUCAGUCCAAAACCAAUAACCUACGGGUUUUCCAAUGUGGCGAGUCUGGAUAAUUUAGCUGAUCGCAUGGUCUCGAACCGGCGAUGGAUCAUUCAAGUGUCUGACCUAUCAACUGUCGAUGGUAGCGUAUUGGUCUACCAUGGUUGUAACGGGUAACGGAGAAUUAGGGUUUGGUUCCGGAGAGGGAGCCUGAGAAACGGCUACCACAUCUAAGGAAGGCAGUUUAUUUCCGAGGCCGAAAGGUCGAGGUAAUCCGUUGAACCCGACUCGUGCUAGGGAUAGGGAAUUGUAAUUGUUUCCCUUGAACGAGGAAUUCCCAGUAAGCGCAAGUCAUCAGCUUGCGUUGAUUACGUCCCUGCCCUUUGUACACACCGCCCGUCGCUACUACCGAUUGAAUGGUU